This is a long non-coding RNA of Patella vulgata (common limpet), 1030 nucleotides long. RefSeq lists it as uncharacterized. The transcript has 2 exons. NCBI's taxonomy places the organism in Eukaryota, Metazoa, Mollusca, Gastropoda, Patellidae. The record is from RefSeq and is a predicted model, not a curated record.
GCGAGGUUGGAGACUAUAGGUCUGUUCUAUUUCAAGUCAGGAUCAGGAUUUCAGAGUUUCAAGUAUUUAUACUACUUGUAUUAAAGGAAAUAACUAAAUAUACAAAACCAUAGAAUGUCCAUUGAGGGAAUUUCGAUGAAUUGGGGCAAAAUUGUGGUUGCCUAUUCAUGGACAUUAAUAAACAACAUAAUAUCGAUAUUUCGAUUACAUCCUCCAAUGAAACUAACAAAUGAAGCAACCGAAGCAGAGAAAAUAACCCAAGAAGACAGUGCAGCCGAGUUAUUAGCAAAUAACUCAAAUAAUACCCCUCUUAAUGACGCAAAAAUUCUCGAUAGUCUACCAAACAUAGCCGUGAAUUUAAAUGAAGCCAAAAAUAACGCUGAUGGUGACAACAUUGCUAACAGUUCUGAUGAGGAUAGUAUCACAGAAGAGAGUUGCCCUGAACCCUCUGAAGAAUGUCCUGACAUCGAGAUCUGAAGAUCUGAAUAUAAAACUAAUGGAUUAAAACUUGAAAAAAUUGAAUCGACAAUGAAGAGUUGUCCAGAAUACAGAGGACAGAUAAAUAUGAACGACAUCGUAUCGGUACUCAAUGUAGAAGAGCCAACUAUAUACAUUGUCCAUGAUGAAAAAAGGCCAAUGUCCCAUGCCACUCUACUCUAUAUCUUCGUAAAUGGUAAAAAGCCUUUGUAUUUCGACUCCAAUGGCGGAUGCCCUACCUAUCUACGAGAUAUAGUUGACUGGAACCGUUUUAAGGUACAGGCCGAUUCUAACAACACCUGUGCGAUACAUUGCAUAUUUGUAGCCAUCAAUAUCAGUAGAGGAAAACCCUGGCCGGAAAUUCUAAUGGAAUAUAAAUGUGGAAGCUGUGAUGAUAACGAUGAAAAAGUUAUUCACUUCUUUGAAAAUCUUACCUAGUAAAAAGCACUCCCUGGCAAGGAGCCUGCCAUAGUCACAAAUUUAGGUAGUCCAAUGUCAGAUAGUUACCCAAUGUUCAACAAUGUAAAUUGAUUUAAAUAUAUUGUAUUAAUCA